UGGCUCAGUGGUAGAGUGCUUGCCUUGCAUGCAUGAGGCCCUGAGUUUGAUUCCUCAG
Dipodomys ordii (Ord's kangaroo rat) is the source of this 58-nucleotide non-coding RNA. The record is from Rfam. Lineage: Eukaryota; Metazoa; Chordata; Mammalia; Rodentia; Heteromyidae.